AGGACGAACGCUGGCGGCGUGCUUAACACAUGCAAGUCGAGCGGUAAGGCCUCUUCGGGGGUACACGAGCGGCGAACGGGUGAGUAACACGUGGGUGACCUGCCCUCAGCUCUGGGAUAAGCCUGGGAAACUGGGUCUAAUACUGGAUAUUCACUUCUCAUCGCAUGGUGGGUGGUGGAAGGUUUUUCGGCUGGGGAUGGGCCCGCGGCCUAUCAGCUUGUUGGUGGGUGAUGGCCUACCAAGGCGACGACGGGUAGCCGG
Molecule: ribosomal RNA, 261 nt
Filed under: uncultured soil bacterium
Lineage: Bacteria
Description: partial 16S ribosomal RNA
Rfam family: Bacterial small subunit ribosomal RNA
Source: RNAcentral